GAGGAUUAGCUAGGAACAGUCUGGGCUCAUGUUUCCUGAAUCUGAAAGUUGCACAGAAAAGGCCACGCUUAGGUAUAGCGAGUCAAGGCUGUCCUCAUAAUGGAAUGAGAAGCUGUUAGCACAUCAGAGCUUAAAAGUACACGUUCAUCAAAACCUAGAUAGGGAAGGAUCUAAAGACAUCCGCUGGGUUUUCACUGCCAUUGUCCCUGUGAAAAUAUUAGUGUCUUUGGAUGUUGUCGCAGUGUCAGCGGGAUCCUACAGUUCUGAGGUGCCUUUUCUACACCUGAAUGUGAGUUUCAUCAGCGUGCUCUUCCCAGCGCGCUCUCUGACUUCUCCAACUCACGCACACCUGCCGGCCGGGCCCAUCUCAGCUCAGCAACUCCUUUUGCGCAGCCCCCCGUUGGACCUGCUCUUCCACCUCUCGGUCUGUUUCCAGCUAUUCUUUCUCUAAAGUCGCUGCUUCUGUGAAAGUAUUUAGUGCCAGUCUCUAUCUUAUUCUAGUCCCCUUUAUUUGAUUUAUGUCAAAUAUCUCAUUUAUCUCUUCCUCCGGAUGGGAACCAUGUCUUUAAUGCGCUCAUAAACUGCAGUGUAUUCUUAUGGCACUCUGCAAGAAAUAAAUAGCAGAAUUAUUUGUCA
Molecule: long non-coding RNA, 636 nt
Filed under: Apteryx rowi (Okarito brown kiwi)
Lineage: Eukaryota; Metazoa; Chordata; Aves; Apterygiformes; Apterygidae
Description: lncRNA (ENSARWG00000012426.1)
Source: RNAcentral